This 324-nucleotide long non-coding RNA is filed under the name Mytilus galloprovincialis (Mediterranean mussel). The record is from RNAcentral. Lineage: Eukaryota; Metazoa; Mollusca; Bivalvia; Mytilida; Mytilidae.
AUAAAAAAAAUCGAACCCUAAAAAACUAGCAUAACAAUCAAUAAAGCCAUUAAUGUGGCAACCAUUGGCAUCUAAAAUUCUAAAUACGGGAUGACAUUUAGUUUGACCUAGUUGAAUACUUCUACUGAGAAUAUCUAGACAGCUUUCAACAGUUUGCGUCAAGCACCUGCAUUUCCAAAAUUAACAGUAAGGAAUGCAAGACUUGCAGGUAAAGAAUCUCAUUCACUUGGACGAGAACGAGAUUUUCUUUGAUACGAAUUGACAUCUGCCGACCUUGUAGAGUAUUUCUGAAGAAAUGUUAAGUGUUGAUUUUUUAGAUUAAUC